This is a long non-coding RNA of Syngnathoides biaculeatus (alligator pipefish), 171 nucleotides long. RefSeq lists it as uncharacterized. The transcript has 3 exons. Lineage: Eukaryota; Metazoa; Chordata; Actinopteri; Syngnathiformes; Syngnathidae. The record is from RefSeq and is a predicted model, not a curated record.
CUCCAAAGUAUUGGUUGGUGUCCCACCUCCUGCCCUCUUUGGUGGAUAGACUCCAGCAGUCCCGUGAUCCUUGUGAGGAUGAGUGGCUCAGAAAAUGGAUGGAUGACUAACAAUGGCCAUCGAGGGUAUUAGUUGUCAUUGAUGUCGGCAUCAGGUGAGAGAACCAAGGCA